Molecule: ribosomal RNA, 253 nt
Filed under: uncultured prokaryote
Description: partial 16S ribosomal RNA
Rfam family: Bacterial small subunit ribosomal RNA
Source: RNAcentral
UACAGAGGGGGCAAGCGUUGUUCGGAAUUACUGGGCGUAAAGAGCGUGUAGGCGGCCAGACAGGUCCGUUGUGAAAACUCGAGGCUCAACCUCGAGACGUCGAUGGAAACCGUCUGGCUAGAGUCCGGAAGAGGAGAGUGGAAUUCCUGGUGUAGCGGUGAAAUGCGCAGAUAUCAGGAAGAACACCUAUGGCGAAGGCAGCUCUCUGGGACGGUACUGACGCUGAGACGCGAAAGCGUGGGGAGCGAACAGG